UUUUUUCCUCGUGCUUAUCUUCCUUCCAAAGUGUCUGGGCACUUUCAUUUCCAGACAGAGAGAGAGAGCGAACAGAGAGCAGGAGGGAUUCAACAUCCAUUUCUGCACCACGGAGUAACUUUUGCUAUAAGGCUACAAAUACAAGACUUUUCACCCGGGAACACGGAGCUGACGAAAGAGAGUUGGAAAUGCAAAGGAACGUCUUCAUCUGCGCGGGUCAAGUCAGAUCAUGCUCCUUAAAAUAAUGGCCUCUAAUUCUUCUCCCAAUCGGCUGAGCUUCCUGGUAAUGAUUCCUUUGCUGGGCUGAGCGAAGGAAUUGAAAUCAGCUUUAAAAGGCAGCGGAUUUGCUAUUGCUGUGUUCUACAAUCCAGAGAGCCAGCUGGCCAUCUUCUCAAUGAAAUGAUGGUGCCAUCGUGACUCCCAGACCUGUGCAAUAUGUCUGUGGGUGAGAUUCAGCUGGAGACACGACAGUUCAGAAGGUGACCUCACCCAGCUUCUCUGCAUUCAUGGAAAACUGGGUCCCCCAGCCCCCCAGAUCAU
Molecule: non-coding RNA, 540 nt
Organism: Podarcis muralis (Common wall lizard)
Lineage: Eukaryota; Metazoa; Chordata; Lepidosauria; Squamata; Lacertidae
Source: RefSeq, a predicted model, not a curated record